Molecule: long non-coding RNA, 395 nt
Organism: Tachyglossus aculeatus (Australian echidna)
Lineage: Eukaryota; Metazoa; Chordata; Mammalia; Monotremata; Tachyglossidae
Exons: 4
Source: RefSeq, a predicted model, not a curated record
GGAGCCCCAUCAGAUGUUCUCCACCCCUGCUCUCUUGCCUUGGAGCACUGUUGGGUGCAAUGUGGGCACUAGGACCCUUCAAGCUUCUCAACACCUCUCUACAGCAGAUGCCCAGUACACUUCCUGGCCUCAUGAACCAUCUGUCAGCCACUGGGACAUUUGGUUCUAAUCUCAGACCAGCCAUUGAGAUGGAGCUGUGAGCUCUGCUGCUACAUCAAAGGGAAGCCCCCAGGAGCACCAUCGGAUCCUCUCCAUUCCUUGCUCUUGUGCCCACAGAGCACUGGUGGGGACCAUCUGGGCACUAGGACCAUCUUGAUCAUCUCCCAGCAGCUCUUACUCUACAGCAGAUGCCCAACAUUUUCCAGCCUCAUGGACUAUCCCUCUGCCAUUUGGAC